AUUGAACGCUGGCGGCAUGCCUUACACAUGCAAGUCGAACGGCAGCGGACCUUCGGGUGCCGGCGAGUGGCGAACGGGUGAGUAAUAUAUCGGAACGUACCUUUCAGUGGGGAUAACGUAGCGAAAGUUACGCUAAUACCGCAUAUUCUGUGAGCAGGAAAGCAGGGGAGUCGCAAGACCUUGCGCUGAUUGAGCGGCCGAUAUCAGAUUAGCUAGUUGGUGAGGUAAAGGCUCACCAAGGCGACGAUCUGUAGCGGGUCUGAGAGGAUGAUCCGCCACACUGGAACUGAGACACGGUCCAGACUCCUACGGGAGGCAGCAGUGGGGAAUUUUGGACAAUGGGCGGCAAGCCUGAUCCAGCCAUGCCGCGUGAGUGAAGAA
This 381-nucleotide ribosomal RNA is filed under the name uncultured bacterium. Its description in RNAcentral is "bacterial SSU rRNA". It matches the Rfam family "Bacterial small subunit ribosomal RNA", at positions 30 to 412 of the family's 1533-position model. The record is from RNAcentral.